AGUGAACGCUGGCGGUAGGCCUAACACAUGUAAGUCGAACGGCAGCACAGUAAGAGCUUGCUCUUACGGGUGGCGAGUGGCGGACGGGUGAGGAAUACAUCGGAAUCUACUUUUUCGUGGGGGAUAACGUAGGGAAACUUACGCUAAUACCGCAUACGACCUACGGGUGAAAGCAGGGGAUCUUCGGACCUUGCGCGAUUGAAUGAGCCGAUGUCGGAUUAGCUAGUUGGCGGGGUAAAGGCCCACCAAGGCGACGAUCCGUAGCUGGUCUGAGAGGAUGAUCAGCCACACUGGAACUGAGACACGGUCCAGACUCCUACGGGAGGCAGCAGUGGGGAAUAUUGGACAAUGGGCGCAAGCCUGAUCCAGCCAUACUGCGUGGGUGAAGAAGGCCUUCGGGUUGUAAAGCCCUUUUGUUGGGAAAGAAAAGCAGCAGGUUAAUACCCCGCUGUUCUGACGGUACCCAAAGAAUAAGCACCGGCUAACUUCGUG
RNAcentral lists this ribosomal RNA (492 nucleotides) under uncultured bacterium. Its description in RNAcentral is "partial 16S ribosomal RNA". It matches the Rfam family "Bacterial small subunit ribosomal RNA", at positions 29 to 507 of the family's 1533-position model. The record is from RNAcentral.